This 188-nucleotide ribosomal RNA is filed under the name uncultured bacterium. RNAcentral's name for it is "partial 16S ribosomal RNA". It matches the Rfam family "Bacterial small subunit ribosomal RNA", at positions 337 to 525 of the family's 1533-position model. The record is from RNAcentral.
UCCUACGGGAGGCAGCAGUGAGGAAUAUUGCGCAAUGGGCGAAAGCCUGACGCAGCAACGCCGCGUGGAUGAAGAAGUUCUUCGGAAUGUAAAGUCCUUUUGCAGAGGAAGAAUCUCCCGGCUUGCCGGGACUGACGGUACUCUGCGAAUAAGCCACGGCUAACUCUGUGCCAGCAGCCGCGGUAAUA